RNAcentral lists this ribosomal RNA (428 nucleotides) under uncultured bacterium. RNAcentral describes it as "partial 16S ribosomal RNA". It matches the Rfam family "Bacterial small subunit ribosomal RNA", at positions 354 to 796 of the family's 1533-position model. The record is from RNAcentral.
GUAGGGAAUAUUGCGCAAUGGACGAAAGUCUGACGCAGCGACGCCGCGUGAGUGAUGAAGGCCUUAGGGUCGUAAAGCUCUGUUGAAUGGGAAGAAAAAAAUGACGGUACCAUUCGAGGAAGGACCGGCUAACUUCGUGCCAGCAGCAGCGGUAAUACGAGGGGUCCUAGCGUUGUUCGGAAUCAUUGGGCGUAAAGGGUGUGUAGGUGGACAUGUAAGUCAGGUGUGAAAGCCGCGGGCUCAACCCGGGAAGUGCACUGGAUACUGCGUGGCUUGAGUACCGAAGAGGGUAGUGGAAUUCCAGGUGUAGUGGUGAAAUACGUAGAUAUCUGGAGGAACACCGGUGGCGAAGGCGGCUACCUGGUCGAGUACUGACACUGAGACACGAAAGCAUGGGGAUCAAACAGGAUUAGAAACCCGGGUAGUCC